AACGUAGGAGACAAACGUUAUCCGGAGUUACUGGGCGUAAAGGGCGUGUAGGUGGUUUCGUAAGUCUGGCGUGAAAUUUCUCGGCUUAACCGAGGCAGGUCGUCGGAUACUGCGGAACUUGAGGACGGUAGAGGCGUGUGGAAUUUCGGGUGUAGUGGUGAAAUGCGUAGAGAUCCGGAGGAACACCAGUGGCGAAGGCGACACGCUGGGCCGUACCUGACACUGAUGCGCGACAGCAUGGGGAGCAAACAGG
Molecule: ribosomal RNA, 253 nt
Filed under: uncultured bacterium
Lineage: Bacteria
Description: partial 16S ribosomal RNA
Rfam family: Bacterial small subunit ribosomal RNA
Source: RNAcentral